GAUGGGAGAGAGAGGUACAGAUGGAGAGAGAGAGAGAGAGAGAGAGAGAGAGAGAGAGGUAAAUAUAUAUAGAGAGAUAUAAAGAUGGAGAGAGGGAGGAAGAAAUAAAGAUAGAAGCAGAGAGAGUAUUCCUUCUGAGUUGCUGUAGCUAGGCUGCAGUGUGUGAUUAUGAAGAGUGUGUGGGUUCUGUCUGAUAUGUACAGGCUGCAGUGUGUGAUUAUGAAGAGUGUGUGGGUUCUGUCUGAUAUGUACAGGCUGCAGUGUGUGAUUAUGAAGAGUGUGUGGGUUCUCUCUGAUAUGUACAGGCUGCAGUGUGUGAUUAUGAAGAGUGUGUGGGUUCUCUCUGAUAUGUACAGGCUGCAGUGUGUGAUUAUGAAGAGUGUGUGGGUUCUCUCUGAUAUGUACAGGCUGCAGUGUGUGAUUAUGAAGAGUGUGUGGGUUCUGUCUGAUAUGUACAG
Oncorhynchus tshawytscha (Chinook salmon) is the source of this 458-nucleotide long non-coding RNA. NCBI's taxonomy places the organism in Eukaryota, Metazoa, Chordata, Actinopteri, Salmoniformes, Salmonidae. The record is from Ensembl.